Molecule: long non-coding RNA, 4526 nt
Filed under: Sus scrofa (pig)
Lineage: Eukaryota; Metazoa; Chordata; Mammalia; Artiodactyla; Suidae
Description: lncRNA (ENSSSCG00005012345.1)
Source: RNAcentral
AUGAACUUUUUCUCUAACAAGACACAUUUUAAGGUAAGCAUAUUUAUCCACAGAUUAUCCUUAAAACAAGAAGAAGAGCAAAGAAAAAAGGCAGAUAUGUUAUCUGAAGAAAUUAGAGAGCAGUUAAGAAGAGAAGAAGAGCAAUGUAGUAAAGAAACUGAAUUGAAACAGCAACUUGAACUCACUCUUGAAGUACUACAAGGGGAACUGAAGACUGUGAGAAAUAAGGCAAACCAGGCUUGAAAAGGAAAAUGCCGAGUUAAAAGGUACAAACAAAAUGCAAGCGGGCACAAUUGAAGAGCUUCAGAAAAACCUGCUGAGUCUAAGUUCGGUAAGUCAGUUUUUUUCUGUCGUACUGAAAAGGAAUUUUAAUUGUGUUACCAAUAUUAUAUGAGAAUAUUUUAGAAAAGAGGAAAAGUCUCAUUGAUAAAAAGCAGUUACGGCAUUUAUAGUGAUACUCUUUGCUACGAAUAGCAUACUUCCUCUUUAUAGAAGACAUUAACUGAAUUCAUAAAAUGAGUGAUUUUUGUAGGAAGAUUUUAAUUAGAAAGAUUGUGGAAGCACUCCCAUUGUGGCUCAGUGGCUUAUGAACCCUACUAGUAUCCAUGAGGAUGUGGCCUCGCUCAUCGUGGGUUAAGGGUCCAGUGUUGCCAAGGCUCUGGUAUAGGUCUCAGCAGCAGCUCUGAUUCAACCCCUAGCCUGGGAACUUCUGUAUGCCACAGGAGUGGCUUUAAAAAAAAAAAAAAAAAGACAAGAGAGAAAGAAAGAGAAGAAUAGAAAAGUUGGGGACUGAACAUCCAGGGUUAGUGUCAUUUAGAAACGAAGUAAGCUUAGAGGAGGGCCUCUUCAGGUCACAUUGUGUAAGUUCAGUUGAGUUCACUGGAGGAAGAGUGUCAUAAAUACCAAGGGACUAGAUCAGCACUAUGUGAUAAAUAAGGAAAAGGUUAUAGUAUAUUUCUCAGUACCCACCAAUUGGGAGCUUAGAAUUUGAGAUGAAAACUCUCAAUCUUCUUUUUAGCGCCAUCACAUGUUCCAUUAAGUAUAUCUUUGAAGCCUUACAUUCUCCUUAGACUUCUGGUUACCAGUUCUUUCUCCAGGUGGAAAGUAGCUGUGUUAAGAACACUUCUCUCUCGAUCUCUCUCGCGCUCUAGUAAUAAUUUACGGCAUUCAGGGAGUUAUAGAUGAUCAUGUUUGAAUACCUGAGUGAAUUCUUUUAUAAAGUCAAAGUCCUUACUACAGUAGUAUUUUUUUUUAAAAAAAAAACCAAUCUUUUAUUAUUAUUUUUUUCCUUUUAGGGCCAUGCCUACAGCAUAGGGACAUUACCAGGCUAGGGGUCGAAUCGGAGCUGCAUCUGCAGGCUUACGCCAGAGCCACCGCAAUGCCAGAUCUGACCUGCAUCUGUGAUCUAGAGCACGGCUUGUGGUCACGUGGGCUCCUUAACCCACCGAGCAGGGCCAGGGGUAGAACAACCCGCAUCCUCAUGGAUACCAUGCCCGGUUCUGAACCCACUGAGCCACAGGAGGCAUUCGCACAGGAGUAUUUGUAAACACAUAGUUGUAGAGAAAUAUAACUCAGCAUUAUUAGGAACAUACUAUGAACACCAACCUUUGUCUUGUAUUUAAUAUAUUUUGAUUUUUUAUAAAGUUUGCUAGACCAUAAUACAUUUAUAUAUUAUAUAUAUCUUUUAAUGUAUAAAGAAAACCUAUAAAGCAGAGGCUUUUGAUUCUAGUAUAUCCCUAAUAAUAGUAUUGAUACAUGACUGAUCUAGUAUAUCUAAAUGCUGAAAUAUAUUGUAUAGAUUGAGAGAGAGUCAAGACGAGAGAUGUAACAGAGAGAGUGGAGUUAAGUGAGAACAGGGAACUCUCUGUUUGAAAAUAUGGAAGUUAUUUCAAAUUCACAUUAGGAAAAGAAAGCUAAGUCCUGGACAAGGUGCUCCGACGCUUCUGAAUGCCAUGUCGCUGAUGUUGAAGAAGAACUGAAAGAAACUUUCAUCUUCACCUUUUUUUGGUUAUGCAUGUUAGUUUUGAUUUGAUGUUGUUUCUUGACAAAGAAAUCCUCACUUUGAAAUGAAUAAAAUGAUGUCUUAUAUUUAGUCUAGCAAAACCUGUAUUCAUCGAUAAUCACGUUCAGCUCAGUUUUAUGCCAUACUGUGUUUAUUCAGACGGAGACACUUGGGCCCUUCUGUUUCUUAUCGUUUCUAAGUUACUGUUUGGUGCAUACUUAACAGGCCUAACUAAUUCUAUCUGACUGUUUGGUAUCGUCUUCGUAGGUGUUUUUAAUCUUUUGAGAAGAAAGGGAGAGGACAUAAAUAAGCAUUUCACCCAGGCUUUCCACUAAGAGUAUAAUGUCUAAUUAUGUAAAUUAGGUUCUUCAUCUCUAUUCAUUACAUGAGAACAUUUGAACCUGCAACACUCUUAAAGAAAAAAGGUGUAGAAGUUAUUUGUGGGGGAGAGUUCUGAUUUCUCUCUUCCUAAUAGGAUCUGCACAUUAUGGACACAUAUGAACACAUCGAACAAAUGAAGCCACCAUUUAUGAUUUUUUCCUAAAAUCACCUCCUUGUUGCAAACUCACUAGAAGGAAAAAUGACUAGCAAAAAAUACAGAAUCAUCUCUGGAAGAGCAUUUGUUCCUUUUAAAGUAUCUCUAGCAAUAGGUACAUUUCACAUGAUUCUUGAGAAAUUUUACAAAUGUCAGUAUCUCUAGCCAUUAAACUAACAGGUAAGGUUUUUGUAUAUGCAUGUGAAACUAACAUGCAAAUUCUUCCAUAUCAAAAAUUCAGAAAUCCUUGCGACUUGAUUUUUCAGUCCCUUUGUUCGCUCCUCAUGUCAGUACUAGGUCCUCUUUGAUACUCUUAAUUGUAUUUUAAAAUCUUUCAAAUCUCCAACUUGGACAAUCAUAGUUUUAUUAAUUUUUGUAUUAGAUCAUUUUAGCAACCAUUAACUACCAUUGUAUAAAACACUAGAUAGGCAACUGGAGUUAUUAGAGUGCUAUUCACAGGAGAAUUAAAAACAGAGUGUGAUUUUAUUUUAUUUUAUUUUACCUUAAUUUAUUUUGUUGUUUUGUCUUUCUAGGGCUGCACCCAUGGCAUAUGAAGGUUCUCAGGCUAGGGGUCGAAUCAGAGCUGAAGCUGCUGUCCUACACAACAGCCACUGCAACGUGGGAUCCCAGCUGCCUCUGGGACCUACAGCACAGCUCAUGGCAAUGCCAGAAUCCUUAACCCACUGAGCAAGGCCAGGGAUCAAACCUGCAUCCUCAUGAAUGGUGGUCACAUCCAUUUUUGCUAAGCCAUGACAGGAACUCCAAAACUAUAGAGUGUGACAUUUUAAACAGGGUUUUUAAUUUUUUUCUUACAUUAUAUGACUACUUAAAAACACUGCAUAAUUCAACAAUCAUGUAAGCACUUGCAAGUGAAAACUUUUUUAGGAUUCAUUUUUUAAAAAGACAUUCUGGUAGCAUCUAGAAUUGGUAUUUUACAGUUAAAUGAUUUUGUUAAACAUGUAUUGCUGUAAUAUCCCAAAAUUAUCUGUAAUAUAUGUGUAUUGCUGUAAUAUCCCAAAAUGCUGUAAUAUCCCAGCAUUGUCUCUGCUGUAGCAUGAGUUUGAUGUCUGGCCCAGGAAUCUUCAUAGGCCUUGGGUGCUGCUGUACAAGAAACUAAAAAAAGAUCACAGUGGCAGUAAGUGGCUUACUAAAUGAUGAAGGUAUUUUCUGUUUGUUUGAGUAUUUUUUUGGCAUGUGGAAGUUCCUGGGCCAGGUACCAAACCUGUGGCACAGCAGCAACCCGAGCUGCCGCAUUAACAAAGCUGAUUUUGAACCUGCNNNNNNNNNNNNNNNNNNNNGAUACCUUUUCCUGAAGGACCAUAAGAUGAUAGCAGUUAAGGAUGUGACAGCUAGAACAGGCGUGUGGAUUUCUGACUUGGGGUGCGUUAAGUUUCAGUAGACUGUGAUCAGUUACCUCCUACAGGUAUAUUAGUGCUCUGGCACUUGAGGCCCUCUCGAGAUUUUAUUUUAUUUUUUUAUUUUAUUUUUUUUUGCCUUUUUGUCUUUUGUUGUUGUUGUUGUUGUUGUUGUUGCUAUUUCUUGGGCCGCUCCCGCGGCAUAUGGAGGUUCCCAGGCUAGGGGUCUAAUCGGAGCUGUAGCCACCGGCCUACGCCAGAGCCACGGCAACGCAGGAUCCGAGCCGCAUCUGCAACCUACACCACAGCUCACGGCAACGCCGGAUUGUUAACCCACUGAGCAAGGGCAGGGACCGAACCUGCAACCUCGUGGUUCCUAGUCGGAUUCGUUAACCACUGCGCCACGACGGGAACUCCCCCUCUCGAGAUCUUAAAUAUUUUGACCUUAAAUAAAUUCCUAUUGUUGAAUACCAACUAUGGGCCUGGCACUUGGACACAGAAUGUACCAGCUGAGGGGUUAGGCUGUCGUGGUAGAAGCAGAAAAACAAAUCUUUCCGAUAUCACUGUAAGACCUUCAUGGGAAUAACCUGACAUGGAGACGGUUAGGUUAGACAACACUGGGGGAGUUUGGCAG